Schizosaccharomyces pombe (fission yeast) is the source of this 925-nucleotide non-coding RNA. The record is from the annotation of a GenBank genome assembly. Lineage: Eukaryota; Fungi; Ascomycota; Schizosaccharomycetes; Schizosaccharomycetales; Schizosaccharomycetaceae.
GACGAAUUUACUCUAAUUAUUUAGGUUAUGCUAUUACAAAUGAAGGUUAUUCAUUUUAAGACUACAAUACGUAUGAGUUUUAAAUAAUUAACAAAAAAGUUGUCAAAAUCACAUAUUCAUGUAUCAAAAAAAAGUCUACUAAAAGAGAUUUUAACAGUAUCUAGUUUGCAUUCUAAUCUUUUUUUCGGUGAUUUAAGGCUUCACCGAAUAGCUACGGCGGAACAUGUCAUCAAUACCAGUAAGGUAGUAAGUACCUGAACGAAGACGUUCGAUGCUUCCUUUGGGAGUAAAAUUCUUUUUCAAGUGUGCUUGAUGGCGUAGCUCAAUAGCCUCUUCAUACUGCGUAGGGGUUAAACAAUGACGAUUAUCCAAAUCGUUAACCAAGUUAGUUUUCUUGGCAAUUUCAGAGACGUCGCCUUUGACAACGAAUGAAAAAAACGAGGCAGCCAAACCAGAACCAUAAGAGUAAGCACCGACGCGUUUUCCUUUAAGUUCAUCAGCGGGGACACGGCUAAGUAAUGCAGUUAAACAAGAGAAAAUACUGGCAGUGUACAUAUUACCACAGUUGGUAGGGGCAUAGACACUAGGGGAAACUCGUUUGUUAAAACGCUCUUUAGUUAUGGCCAUAAGACCUUUUUCUAAAGCCUUGUCGGUAAGGGAUUUCUUAGCAUCCAGGGUGCUAAGAAGUUCACGGACACCUUCCAACUCGGGAUUAGAUGGUUCAGCAGCGCUAUCGGUGUACAAUAAACGCGCAUAUGCUUUUUGGACUUGUUUGCAAGUAGGAGCGUGGAAAAUGCAAUAAUCAAAACGAUCCAAUCCAAGUCCUUGACUUUUUCCAUUCUUAGCAACAUCACGAACAUUGUAAUUAGCAUAUGCUCCAUCAAGAGCUUUAACAUAACAUUCAAGAGAAAAAUGGCCAUCAACG